GACGAACGCUGGCGGCGUGCUUAACACAUGCAAGUCGAACGGAAAGGCCCUGCUUUUGUGGGGUGCUCGAGUGGCGAACGGGUGAGUAACACGUGAGUAACCUGCCCUUGACUUUGGGAUAACUUCAGGAAACUGGGGCUAAUACCGGAUAGGAGCUCCUGCUGCAUGGUGGGGGUUGGAAAGUUUCGGCGGUUGGGGAUGGACUCGCGGCUUAUCAGCUUGUUGGUGGGGUAGUGGCUUACCAAGGCUUUGACGGGUAGCCGGCCUGAGAGGGUGACCGGCCACAUUGGGACUGAGAAACGGCCCAGACUCCUACGGGAGGCAGAAGUGGGGAAUAUUGCACAAUGGGCGGAAGCCUGAUGCAGCAACGCCGCGUGCGGGAUGACGGCCUUCGGGUUGUAAACCGCUUUCGCCUGUGACGAAGCGUGAGUGACGGUAAUGGGUAAAGAAGCACCGGCUAACUACGUG
This 468-nucleotide ribosomal RNA is filed under the name uncultured bacterium. RNAcentral's name for it is "partial 16S ribosomal RNA". It matches the Rfam family "Bacterial small subunit ribosomal RNA", at positions 28 to 507 of the family's 1533-position model. The record is from RNAcentral.